This is a long non-coding RNA of Clupea harengus (Atlantic herring), 962 nucleotides long. Lineage: Eukaryota; Metazoa; Chordata; Actinopteri; Clupeiformes; Clupeidae. The record is from Ensembl.
CGGUGACACAAUGGCAGAGGCAGGUCGUCGAGUUCAGCCUAAUGUGCCACACUCUACAGUGUCCUCGAUCAUCCAAACAUUCCGCAGGGAAAACAGGAUUGGAAGACAACCUGGUGCGGGUGGCAGAAGAGCAAUUUUCAACCAACAACAGGAACAGGAAAUUUGCAAUAUUGUCGUGGCCAACAAUUCCAUCACACUGCGAGAAAUCCAGACCACAAUCCUAGAGGACAAUGCUGGCAUCUUCCAGAACAGAAUAAUGGAGCUGGAGGCGAAUGAGACCCCUCACACCCUGAUUUUUGUGGAUGAAGCUGGGUUCAACCUGGCCAAAGGAAGACGGCGUGGCCGGAAUGUCGUCGGCCACCGGGCAGCGGUGGAUGUCCCAGGCCAGCGCGGGGGCAACAUCACCAUGUGUGCUGCCAUUUCAGAGAAUGGUGUAGUCACCCACAUUCCAAGUCUUGGCCCAUACAACACCCAGAAGCUCCUGGUGUUCUUGGACCGCCUGCACGCUGAUCUUAUUCCUCUACAUGAGGGGGGUUUGGUAGGGCCUCACUUGCCUACAUAUGUGAUUGUGUGGGACAAUGUGAGUUUUCACCGUGGCCCGCUCAUCAGGGCGUGGUUCACUGCCCAUCCAAGGUGGAUGGUCUAUGAGCAUCGGGCCCUAAACCAGAGGUCCCUUCUCCAGGCAAUGGAUGCUGCUUGUGUCGAUGUCACAGCAGAUCAGUGCAGGGGAUGGUUGCGGCAUGCACGCCGAUUCUUCCCCCGUUGACGAAAAUCUGCGGGCAGACAGACGUGAGCGCGAGGAUGAGCAGGAGAGUGAGGACGAAAACUAAACUCCAGCUUUGCUUUACUUUCCUACUGUAUGUUUUGUUACAGUAGUGUAGGCUAUACUUCAUUUUAGUUUGGAUGUGCUUUUUGUUUGACAGUAUUUUUUGUUGUACACAUUUUCUGUUUCUGUUUUGCAA